RNAcentral lists this ribosomal RNA (253 nucleotides) under uncultured bacterium. RNAcentral's name for it is "partial 16S ribosomal RNA". It matches the Rfam family "Bacterial small subunit ribosomal RNA", at positions 524 to 776 of the family's 1533-position model. The record is from RNAcentral.
UACGUAGGGUGCGAGCGUUGUCCGGAAUUAUUGGGCGUAAAGAGCUCGUAGGCGGCUUGUCGCGUCGGUUGUGAAAGCCCGGGGCUUAACCCCGGGUCUGCAGUCGAUACGGGCAGGCUAGAGUUCGGUAGGGGAGAUCGGAAUUCCUGGUGUAGCGGUGAAAUGCGCAGAUAUCAGGAGGAACACCGGUGGCGAAGGCGGAUCUCUGGGCCGAUACUGACACUGAGGUGCGAAAGCGUGGGGAGCAAACAGG